This 250-nucleotide ribosomal RNA is filed under the name uncultured bacterium. RNAcentral describes it as "partial 16S ribosomal RNA". It matches the Rfam family "Bacterial small subunit ribosomal RNA", at positions 46 to 305 of the family's 1533-position model. The record is from RNAcentral.
GCUUAACACAUGCAAGUCGAACGGAGCUUUUCGGAGCUAAGUGGCGGACGGGUGAGUAACACGUAUGCAACCUACCCUUUACAGGAGAAUAGCCCCGAGAAAUCGGGAUUAAUACUUCAUGGUAUCAUAAGAUCGCAUGGUCUAAUGAUUAAAGUUUCGGCGGUAAAGGAUGGGCAUGCGGUCUAUUAGUUUGUUGGUAAGGUAACGGCUUACCAAGACUUCGAUAGAUAGGGGGUCUGAGAGGAUGAUC